AUGUAGAACACACAUCAAUAUCUACAAUAAAAAACACUAAAAUAGUGUAAUACAGUAAGGUGUCAGCUUCAGGAUAAAAUUAUAUAUUGCACUUACAAACUCUCAUUGAUAGUAGGCCUUUCAAACUCCUCAAAUACAGGACUCUUCUUUCUUCUUUGUUCUCACAUCCAAAACAUAUAUAUGGGGAUAGAGAGAGAAGUUAUAAAUAUG
Non-coding RNA from Pelobates cultripes (western spadefoot toad), 210 nucleotides. The record is from the annotation of a GenBank genome assembly. Lineage: Eukaryota; Metazoa; Chordata; Amphibia; Anura; Pelobatidae.